CUAAAUUUUUACGGGAUCAAGGCCCGUCGAUCUAG
Molecule: transfer RNA, 35 nt
Filed under: Delma concinna
Lineage: Eukaryota; Metazoa; Chordata; Lepidosauria; Squamata; Pygopodidae
Description: partial tRNA-Asn
Source: RNAcentral